UCUGUAGCUCAGCUUGGUUAGAGCGUCUGUUUGUGGCACAGAAGGUCGCAGGUUCGAGUCCUGUUAG
This 67-nucleotide transfer RNA is filed under the name human gut metagenome. It matches the Rfam family "tRNA", at positions 5 to 66 of the family's 71-position model. From Rfam's summary of the family: Transfer RNA (tRNA) molecules are approximately 80 nucleotides in length. Their secondary structure includes four short double-helical elements and three loops (D, anti-codon, and T loops). The record is from RNAcentral.